AGCCCCUAGAAGCUUUUAAUGCAGCGGUCUUGUAAACCGCAGAAGGUAAAUACCCAGAGGCUCCCA
RNAcentral lists this transfer RNA (66 nucleotides) under Potamilus streckersoni. Its description in RNAcentral is "tRNA-Thr". Lineage: Eukaryota; Metazoa; Mollusca; Bivalvia; Unionida; Unionidae. The record is from RNAcentral.